UGUGCCUUACCUCGGAGUAGUCAAUUAUCAAAGCGCCCCAAAGAUCAUCAAUCACGAGGCAAGCUUGAAAGUUUAGAGGAGGAGCAAUGACUGGGCCAUCGAUUGCAAUACUGCUGGCCCUUUUCCCUAAUGCCAAGCGCUUUUUUGAGCUCAAAACCCAAAGAGGUCAUCCAUCCCUUUUUAAUAUUUAGCCACAUCAGUGACAAUAGCCUACACACCGCCGCGCGCGUGACAUCAUCGCCUUAUUGAUAGGGGCUUUUGCAUCUAAGCGGCUACAUUUAAAGCUCCGUGACCUGUUUUGUUUCUGAAUUAACAAUUUCACCGCUUAUAGAGAGACCCGCUCAUCUAGUAGUGUAGAAUGAAUUCAGCUAACAACCGUCAAUAAAAUACCAUAAAGACGCGGCAGUUGUGUGGUUUUCAGUAUCUGUGGAACAGUUUUCAGAAUGUUUUCGGCAAAAACAAACAUGUUUGGUGAGAUAAAGAUAAGAGAAGCGAAAGGAGAAAAGUGGAAGCCGGUCGGCUGUGCGGAUUCCACACGAUAGAAGGGGGGAAACUCCAGCGGCCAGCUCUCUCCCUCCACACCGCGAUCAGAGCGCUGCGACGCACACAGCGGGCAGCAUGCCGACUCCCACUCUCUCCUCACUCUCUCACACACGCCUGUCGGGCUUUUCCCGGAGAAAAAAAAUUGCAUUUCCCCCUUGGUUCUGGAAGUAUUCACACGAUCAAGCAAGGUACCCAGGUAAUUACCGUACAUUGUCAAAUAAAGGCACAAUAAAGGGACUACUGAUUCAAAUGAGGAGUGAAAUAUCAAAGAAAGGGGUUCCCUUUGCAGCCAGGCACUUAUCCACACAGGAGACAGCAACGAGACGACUGCCACAGGGACACUCACACAGCCUCUGAUAACAACAUGCUCAGACUCCUUGGUACAUAUAUCACACCACAAUAUUUUGCACACAGAAGCAUUGCACCACACUUACGUAUUCUCAGAGUCUCACUUCAGCUUGAUGACUGAAAUGUAUUUUAAUAUCAUUAAAAUGCUGUGAAUAUAGCAGUUUAAAAAAGACAUAAUCUGUGUAUCAAUUAAAUAGGAAUGUGUUGUAAUUGUUAAAAUUGUUCAGAUUAUCAUAUGAAGAGGUCUAAAAAAAUGCCAGCAUUUAAAAACUAUUAGGCUGCAAUUAAAGUGACUAUAUAGUGUUAAGCAUUAUGUUCAGGAUACUGCACCCUUCAUAAAUACUUUAUAUUCUGCAUUAAUAGUUUUCUCUCUGAUAUCUCAUGAUAUGACAUAAAAAAAAUCUCUUGAAGAAACUGAACUUCCACAGUUUUGCUUCUUUGGACAAAAAAAUUAAAAUACAUCACUAUUUCGUCUAUUUUCAUUUUAAAUAUUUACUUAGAUGUAGCUGUAUAAUAUAUAACUUGCUUGAUCUUGUUGAUCUUAUGAUAUGAUGUAAAAUAAUGAUGCAAUGAAGGAAAUACAUUUGUGGUUGGUGUGUGAAAUGGUUGGAGGCAAAAUCUGGCCUCCAAGAAUGUGUAAGAGUUUAACAUUAUAAAUACACUUUCCCUCCCUCUAGCUUACAGACAGCUCCAAGGACUAUUUUACAUGUAAAUAUUCACUCAGAAAAAAGCCAGAUCAUUAAUUAUUGAGAGCCAUAAAGAAGUGUAAUACUUCAGUGUUAAACACAUGCAUCUGAUAUCUCAUUAGAUGAGGCUGAGGAUGAACUCAAAGAAGGAAAUCUAUUCUUCAAAUAGUCCAGGACAUAGAUAAGAUGAUACAAAAUGGUGGAUAUUCAGAGUAGUAUCAUUUUGCCUUUCUGGAUUUCAGAUUGCAAAUCAGGGUUAGUGCUAGACUAAAGCUAAUUUAUAACCAGGAAAUUUUAAUAGCAGUCUAAUAUAGGUUGUGUAUUCUUUUCUUUUCUUUUUCUAUAUUUACUCAAGAUAGACUUAAAGAAAUGUUUUCCAUCUACAAAGAUAUCUACCUUCCUACUGUGUAUUUGAAAAACUGGGCCUUGACGGAUUUUAGGAAAUGAAAGUAAAUAUUUAUUAAUGUUAAAUGUGUUACACUAGAUAGCUGGUCAUGUUGGUGUUAAUGAUAUAACAAUAGUUAUUACAUGCAGAAAACAUUCCUUGAUAGAUGAGCUCACUGAGAUGACAUUGAAUAUUCAGAGACAGAAGCCUGGCAUUGACAUCUAUAUGAAUCUAUGGGCUAUGUGAAUCUAUAUGGCCAGGAUACUUGAUAGUCUUUCAUACUUUUCAAAAGUUUAAAGUUUUAAAAAACUUUCCCCAUGUAUGACCAGGCAGGCUGCAUUCUGGCACCCAUCUUCUCUCUUACAUUAUGGCCUGUGGCUGAGCUCUUGACAGGUUGUCACAAGGUGAUAGGACUCAAGUGGAGACACUAGAAAGGUGGCACUUAAGAGCACAAGGAGUUUGAUUUCCGGGUGUGCCAUGGAGCCUGACAGUGGAUCAGCCCUUGAAGGAGUGCACUCACACACCUGAGUGAGUGGAAUGUUCCAUAAAUGAGAGUUGUGCUUUAGAUGUAACAGUGCCGACAAACGAAAGAACUGGCAAGAACUAAGAAAUGUAGAAUUUCAUGCAAAAAAUUCCCCUGAAGUGGUUGCCCCCAACCCCCCCCCCUUUUUUUUGUAAAACCAAGUUAGUGAGUGGAAAGUUUUCUGAGAGUCCUGAUACAGGUAGGCUCUGUUCUGUAAUGACUGUUCUGUACAAAUGUGCAAAUAUGUUCACAAUAAAAUAAAUAAUUUUAUGAAUUACA
Molecule: long non-coding RNA, 2764 nt
Organism: Tachysurus fulvidraco (yellow catfish)
Lineage: Eukaryota; Metazoa; Chordata; Actinopteri; Siluriformes; Bagridae
Exons: 2
Source: RefSeq, a predicted model, not a curated record